GAACCAUCAUUUCUCAUGACUCCUGCGCUUCCUCCUUCCCAUGGGGUAAAGUCCACACUUUUAAUGUGGCCUCCAGCCCUUUGCAGUCUGUCCAGUCUCCCCUUCAGUCUCUUUUAACAUCACGUGAACCCUCCACUCCAGUCAAAACUCCCUGUAGUUUUUGGCCUCUCAGAUCCUGUGUCAUUCCUGCUUUUUUUCCCCCUUUGAAACCUGAGAUUAAACCCUGCUGGCUCUGGGAAGCCACUUCUAACUGCCAUGACACAGCACAAUAUCCCUUUCCUCCGGCACUUACUGUUUCACAAUUUGGUGAGCAUGGCAUGCUGCCUUAUACUGUGAUUUAAUCCUUUUUAAAGGUUGAGGUAUAAAAUAACAUAAACUGUGUAAACAGUCCUGAUCUUAA
This is a long non-coding RNA of Homo sapiens (human), 400 nucleotides long. NCBI's taxonomy places the organism in Eukaryota, Metazoa, Chordata, Mammalia, Primates, Hominidae. The record is from Ensembl.